ACAGCCGCGGGAAGACAUGAGAGGCUGCUAGAAGGACUUCCCGCGGCCAGCGCCAUCACCUGCCCACGCCGCAGGGAGGUUCGUCCAGCUCCACGCCCACCCACUGGCCGCUGGCAAACUCCGUGGUCCCACAGAACCGCAGUGUGCCCGUCUUCUGGCCAUCCAGCAGCACGCGGUCUCCCAGGCGCAAGCCCAGUGCGCUAAGCAUGAGAUUGCCUGGGACGUUGUCAUAGUUGGGUAGCGUGACCUUGGGGAGGGCGCAAGAUAGUGGCACUGCCUCUUCCAGAAGCGUCCGCAGCUCCUUGGCCACCAGUGCCGCCUCUGCCUUGUCCAGGGACAUGUCCAUAGGAUCUGGGACCACCUCCGCCGGCACCUGUCCUUUUCGAUUCCUCAGCGCAGGGUUGGCGCCGUGCUCCAGCAAACAUUUGGCGGCGCCCAGGCACAGGCUGGAAGCAGCGAUGUGCAGGGCUGAGCCGUGGUUGAAGUCACUGCACGUGGAGUUCACCACUCGCGGCCUCGCACCCUUCAGCAGCACACGCACGAGGUCGGGCACAUCAAAAUAGGCCGCGUAGUGAAGCGCGUUCAUGUUGGUCCAGCGGCUGCGCAGCGUCACAUCUGCGCCCAGCGCCAGCAGCUGCUGCGAGAGGCGCACGGCUGCCGCGGGGUCCCCGACUCCGUGGGCCCCAGCUUUGCACGCAUAGUGGAGCAGUGUCAUGUCGGUCAGCCCGUCACGAUCGUUCACAUGGCAGCCUCGGCGCAGAAUCUCAUUGCCGAUGACGUCUAUCUUGUGCUGGACUUGGGGCACCCACUGGCGCACAAUGGCAAACAGCUCGGGGAUGGUGGUCUGAGGGUCAAACAGGAUCUCCUGGCACGCCGGGUCAUUGGGAUCGAAGAAGGUGAAAGCGUAGUCCUUAGGGAGGGGGGCAGGUGCCGAGGGGUGCACAACAGGCUUCUGCCGGCGCUCCUGGGUGGGGCUGGGGGCCUCGGGGACGGGUUCAUCCUCCUCCUCCUCUUCUUCCUCCUCUCCUCGGGGUGGCGGGGCCAUCGGGGCAGGAUCUGUCUUAGUCAUGGUCCUCGGUGGCCCUCGGGGGGCGGGUGCAGAGUUGGGGGCAGCCUUCAGGCAAAUCCUCGGGCAGACAGCGCUGGGGACCAAAGUGGAGACUGGGGAGACUGUGGGAGCAAUGGGGUGUCGGUGUCAGGGGACGUGAUGGGGGAGGCAAGGGAGACAGAGAGAAGGGGACGAGGCCCAGACGCCGACAGGGGGUGGGGGCGGAGAGAAAAGAAGAGAGGGCAAUGCAACCAUGGAGGCAGAGACUGGAGAGAUGUGGCCACAAGCCAAGCACUGCCUGCAGCCACCAGGAACCGGAACAGGCAAAGAAGAGAUUCUCCCCCAGAACCUCCAGAGGAGUACAGCCCUGCCGACACCUUGGUUUUGGCCCAGGAAAGCCGAUUUGGACUCCUGGCCUCUAGAACUGUUAGAAAAUAAUUUGUCUUGUUUUAAGCCACCAAGUUUGUUAGAGCAGCAUGGGAAACUAAUAGUGU
Molecule: long non-coding RNA, 1542 nt
Filed under: Homo sapiens (human)
Lineage: Eukaryota; Metazoa; Chordata; Mammalia; Primates; Hominidae
Description: long non-coding RNA NONHSAT065951.2
Source: RNAcentral